RNAcentral lists this ribosomal RNA (467 nucleotides) under uncultured bacterium. RNAcentral's name for it is "partial 16S ribosomal RNA". It matches the Rfam family "Bacterial small subunit ribosomal RNA", at positions 28 to 507 of the family's 1533-position model. The record is from RNAcentral.
GACGAACGCUGGCGGCGUGCUUAACACAUGCAAGUCGAACGGAAAGGCCUCUUUCGGGGGGUACUCGGGUGGCGAACGGGUGAGUAACACGUGAGUAACCUGCCCUUGACUUUGGGAUAACUUCAGGAAACUGGGGCUAAUACCAGAUAGGAGCUCCUGCUGCAUGGUGGGGGUUGGAAAGUUUCGGCGGUUGGGGAUGGACUCGCGGCUUAUCAGCUUGUUGGUGGGGUAGUGGCUUACCAAGGCUUUGACGGGUAGCCGGCCUGAGAGGGUGACCGGCCACAUUGGGACUGAGAUACGGCCCAGACUCCUACGGGAGGCAGCAGUGGGGAAUAUUGCACAAUGGGUGGAAGCCUGAUGCAGCAACGCCGUGUGCGGGAUGACGGCCUUCGGGUUGUAAACCGCUUUCGCUCAUGACGAAGCUUUGUGUGACGGUAGUGGGUAAAGAAGCACCGGCUAACUACGUG